This 426-nucleotide ribosomal RNA is filed under the name uncultured Comamonadaceae bacterium. RNAcentral's name for it is "bacterial SSU rRNA". It matches the Rfam family "Bacterial small subunit ribosomal RNA", at positions 356 to 774 of the family's 1533-position model. The record is from RNAcentral. Lineage: Bacteria; Pseudomonadati; Pseudomonadota; Betaproteobacteria; Burkholderiales; Comamonadaceae.
GGGGAAUUUUGGACAAUGGGGGCAACCCUGAUCCAGCCAUGCCGCGUGAGUGAAGAAGGCCUUCGGGUUGUAAAGCACUUUCAGUCAGGAGGAAGGUGGUGUAGCUAAUAUCUGCACCAAUUGACGUUACUGACAGAAUAAGCACCGGCUAACUACGUGCCAGCAGCCGCGGUAAUACGUAGGGUGCGAGCGUUAAUCGGAAUUACUGGGCGUAAAGCGUGCGCAGGCGGUGCUGUAAGACAGGCGUGAAAUCCCCGGGCUCAACCUGGGAAUUGCGCUUGUGACUGCAGUGCUGGAGUACGGCAGAGGGGGAUGGAAUUCCGCGUGUAGCAGUGAAAUGCGUAGAUAUGCGGAGGAACACCGAUGGCGAAGGCAGUCCCCUGGGCCUGUACUGACGCUCAUGCACGAAAGCGUGGGGAGCAAACA